Molecule: ribosomal RNA, 303 nt
Filed under: Globigerinoides ruber albus
Lineage: Eukaryota; Foraminifera; Rotaliida; Globigerinidae
Description: SSU rRNA
Source: RNAcentral
UUAUAUGAUAGGUGGUGCAUGGCCGUUCUUAGUUCGUGGAGUGAUCUGUCUGCUUAAUUGCGUUUCAAAUUUUUAACCGAGGACCGGGUUUUGGUUUGGCUAGUGGUCCUACGAUGACUGUGAACUGUCAUGUCUUCGGAUGUACGACUAUCGGUCUAGGAUCACAUGACUUGCCCCUGGGACUCUUUUGAACGCAACGGACGUGAUUGCAACCCCUUGUUGAGAUUAGAGAUAGUCUCGAUAUUCACUGGCCAAACUGGCUGCUUUAUGCAGUCUUGUUGAAUGGUGGAUAAACUCGGGGGA